This 785-nucleotide small RNA is filed under the name Pan troglodytes (chimpanzee). Its description in RNAcentral is "processed transcript". Lineage: Eukaryota; Metazoa; Chordata; Mammalia; Primates; Hominidae. The record is from RNAcentral.
GUACGUCGCUACGUCCCGUCUCUAGCCCUGACGCUCCGCCGGUCCCGUUCUGCAGAAGAGCUUCUCCUCAUCAACUGGGGAUGAUUACAGUUCUUCCUUAAAAAGCCUACUUGAUGUGAAGACAAUGAGGAUGAAGACCUUUAUGGUGAUCCACUUCCACUUAAUAGAUGGCUGCUCUUUUUCUAAAGAGGUUAACACUACAAACUGUAAAGUCUGAAAAUAGUUGCAUUAGAUGUUUUGGUAAACACAUCCUGCAAAAGACAGCACCAGCACAGUUGUCCCCUAUUGCUUCUGCCCCAAGACUCUCCUUCCUAAUUCAUGCAAAAGCCUUUAGUACCGCUGAAGACACCCAGAAUGAAGGAAAAAAGACAAAAAAGAAUAAAACAGCUUUUAGUAACGUUGGAAGAAAAAUUAGUCAGCGAGUUAUUCACUUAUUUGAUGAGAAGGGCAAUGAUUUGGGAAACAUGCACCGAGCAAAUGUGAUUAGACUUAUGGAUGAGCGAGACCUGCGACUGGUUCAAAGGAACACCAGCACAGAACCUGCAGAGUAUCAGCUCAUGACAGGAUUGCAGAUCCUCCAGGAGCGGCAGAGGCUGAGGGAGAUGGAGAAGGCGAACCCCAAAACUGGACCAACCCUGAGAAAGGAACUGAUUUUGUCUUCAAAUAUUGGACAACAUGAUUUGGACACAAAGACUAAACAGAUUCAGCAGUGGAUUAAGAAAAAACACCUAGUCCAGAUUACCAUAAAGAAAGGAAAAAAUGUAGACGUGUCAGAAAAUGAAAUG